RNAcentral lists this ribosomal RNA (636 nucleotides) under uncultured Propionibacterium sp. RNAcentral's name for it is "bacterial SSU rRNA". It matches the Rfam family "Bacterial small subunit ribosomal RNA", at positions 71 to 720 of the family's 1533-position model. The record is from RNAcentral. Lineage: Bacteria; Bacillati; Actinomycetota; Actinomycetes; Propionibacteriales; Propionibacteriaceae.
GGCCCUGCUUUUGUGGGGUGCUCGAGUGGCGAACGGGUGAGUAACACGUGAGUAACCUGCCCUUGACUUUGGGAUAACUUCAGGAAACUGGGGCUAAUACCGGAUAGGAGCUCCUGCUGCAUGGUGGGGGUUGGAAAGUUUCGGCGGUUGGGGAUGGACUCGCGGCUUAUCAGCUUGUUGGUGGGGUAGUGGCUUACCAAGGCUUUGACGGGUAGCCGGCCUGAGAGGGUGACCGGCCACAUUGGGACUGAGAUACGGCCCAGACUCCUACGGGAGGCAGCAGUGGGGAAUAUUGCACAAUGGGCGGAAGCCUGAUGCAGCAACGCCGCGUGCGGGAUGACGGCCUUCGGGUUGUAAACCGCUUUCGCCUGUGACGAAGCGUGAGUGACGGUAAUGGGUAAAGAAGCACCGGCUAACUACGUGCCAGCAGCCGCGGUGAUACGUAGGGUGCGAGCGUUGUCCGGAUUUAUUGGGCGUAAAGGGCUCGUAGGUGGUUGAUCGCGUCGGAAGUGUAAUCUUGGGGCUUAACCCUGAGCGUGCUUUCGAUACGGGUUGACUUGAGGAAGGUAGGGGAGAAUGGAAUUCCUGGUGGAGCGGUGGAAUGCGCAGAUAUCAGGAGGAACACCAGUGGCGAAG